Molecule: ribosomal RNA, 468 nt
Filed under: uncultured bacterium
Lineage: Bacteria
Description: partial 16S ribosomal RNA
Rfam family: Bacterial small subunit ribosomal RNA
Source: RNAcentral
GACGAACGCUGGCGGCGUGCUUAACACAUGCAAGUCGAACGGAAAGGCCCUGCUUUUGUGGGGUGCUCGAGUGGCGAACGGGUGAGUAACACGUGAGUAACCUGCCCUUGACUUUGGGAUAACUUCAGGAAACUGGGGCUAAUACCGGAUAGGAGCUCCUGCUGCAUGGUGGGGGUUGGAAAGUUUCGGCGGUUGGGGAUGGACUCGCGGCUUAUCAGCUUGUUGGUGGGGUAGUGGCUUACCAAGGCUUGGACGGGUAGCCGGCCUGAGAGGGUGACCGGCCACAUUGGGACGGAGAUACGGCCCAGACUCCUACGGGAGGCAGCAGUGGGGAAUAUUGCACAAUGGGCGGAAGCCUGAUGCAGCAACGCCGCGUGCGGGAUGACGGCCUUCGGGUUGUAAACCGCUUUCGCCUGUGACGAAGCGUGAGUGACGGUAAUGGGUAAAGAAGCACCGGCUAACUACGUG